This 482-nucleotide ribosomal RNA is filed under the name uncultured bacterium. RNAcentral's name for it is "partial 16S ribosomal RNA". It matches the Rfam family "Bacterial small subunit ribosomal RNA", at positions 29 to 507 of the family's 1533-position model. The record is from RNAcentral.
ACGAACGCUGGCGGCGUGCUUAACACAUGCAAGUCGAACGCUGAAGCUCAGCUUUUGUUGGGUGGAUGAGUGGCGAACGGGUGAGUAACACGUGAGUAACCUGCCCCCUUCUUUGGGAUAACGCCCGGAAACGGGUGCUAAUACUGGAUAUUCACUGGUCUUCGCAUGGGGGUUGGUGGAAAGGGUUUUUCUGGUGGGGGAUGGGCUCGCGGCCUAUCAGCUUGUUGGUGGGGUGAUGGCCUACCAAGGCUUUGACGGGUAGCCGGCCUGAGAGGGUGACCGGUCACAGUGGGACUGAGAUACGGCCCAGACUCCUACGGGAGGCAGCAGUGGGGAAUAUUGCACAAUGGGCGCAAGCCUGAUGCAGCGACGCCGCGUGAGGGAUGGAGGCCUUCGGGUUGUGAACCUCUUUCGCUCAUGGUCAAGCCGCAACAAUGGUUGUGGUGAGGGUAGUGGGUAAAGAAGCGCCGGCUAACUACGUG